CCCCUCUCAGGGUCACAUCUGGAGAGUUUCCAGUACUCUACCAGUCUCGGCUAAGGGAGGGAAAGUCAAACAAAGGCCUACCCAUUCCUUUCCUAGCUUGGGCUGUGGCUAGCGAGUGGAAGACGAUCUGCUACAAGU
Small nucleolar RNA from Ornithorhynchus anatinus (platypus), 138 nucleotides. The record is from RefSeq and is a predicted model, not a curated record. Lineage: Eukaryota; Metazoa; Chordata; Mammalia; Monotremata; Ornithorhynchidae.